RNAcentral lists this ribosomal RNA (315 nucleotides) under uncultured eukaryote. RNAcentral's name for it is "partial 18S ribosomal RNA". It matches the Rfam family "Eukaryotic small subunit ribosomal RNA", at positions 1470 to 1796 of the family's 1831-position model. The record is from RNAcentral.
CCCUUAGACGUUCUGGGCCGCACGCGCGCUACACUGACCAGUGCAACAAGCAUCCGUCCUUGGCCGACAGGCUCGGGCAAUCUUUGAACGCUGGUCGUGAUGGGGAUAGACUUUUGCAAUUUUUGGUCUUCAACGAGGAAUUCCUAGUAAACGCAAGUCAUCAACUUGCAUUGAUUACGUCCCUGCCCUUUGUACACACCACCCGUCGCACCUACCGAUUGAAUGGUCCGGUGAAGCCUCCGGAUUGGCGCGCACCUCGGUGCCGCCGAGAAGUUGGCUAAACCUUACCAUUUAGAGGAAGGUGAANUCGUANCA